This 464-nucleotide ribosomal RNA is filed under the name uncultured bacterium. RNAcentral describes it as "partial 16S ribosomal RNA". It matches the Rfam family "Bacterial small subunit ribosomal RNA", at positions 28 to 505 of the family's 1533-position model. The record is from RNAcentral.
GACGAACGCUGGCGGCGCGCCUAACACAUGCAAGUCGAACGAGCGAGAGAGAGCUUGCUUUCUCAAGCGAGUGGCGAACGGGUGAGUAACGCGUGAGGAACCUGCCUCAAAGAGGGGGACAACAGUUGGAAACGACUGCUAAUACCGCAUAAGCCCACAGGUCGGCAUCGACCAGAGGGAAAAGGAGCAAUCCGCUUUGAGAUGGCCUCGCGUCCGAUUAGCUAGUUGGUGAGGUAACGGCCCACCAAGGCAACGAUCGGUAGCCGGACUGAGAGGUUGAACGGCCACAUUGGGACUGAGACACGGCCCAGACUCCUACGGGAGGCAGAAGUGGGGAAUAUUGCACAAUGGGGGAAACCCUGAUGCAGCGACGCCGCGUGGAGGAAGAAGGUCUGCGAAUUGUAAACUCCUGUUGUUGAGGAAGAUAAUGACGGUACUCAACAAGGAAGUGACGGCUAACGACG